GCUGUGUAGCACUGUAGAUUUUCCUUUUGUAUAACAAUUAUGUAAACAGCCGUGCUAACUGACAUCGGGUGUGACACUGUGAGUAUGUGAGUAGUGCUUGAUUGCCACCAUAAUUUCUCAUUUUGCUGCUUUUGAGCUGGUAGUCACGUGUGGUAGGACGGAGUACAAAGCACAGGUGUACCAGCUCCAAGCUGGUACAACCUGGCAUUUAUUGUGUUUCCCUACUGACAAAAUACGUCUGGAUUUUCUCACCUUUUCUCAUGUCUUUGUUUCUUUACGUUUUAUAACAGGAACAAACAAAUUAAUCUCUCUGCCAAAGGAAUGCAGGCGAGUGGUUGUUCCCACCUGAGGUUUGCUGAGUGCAUGCAUUCCUCACUGUGGUGGUGAGUCCUUGGCAGAGAGCAGCAGUGGGUCAGCUGGAGCUGUGUUGUCCGUCUGCCUUGAGGUCGUUCAGGCAGCCCUGGAAGGUAACCAGUGGGUUUGAUUUGUCAGCUCGUACAGGCACAAACAGUUCCCAGUACACCAACUUACAAAAUGCAGAGACUUGGAAGCUUCAACAAGACAUGCAGCAUUCCAUGCACCAGUUGUGUGUGAUUGAUGGAGAUCUCUUCAGCACCUGGUGUGUAGAAGGGCAUCUGAGAUGAGCCAGUCCCAUUCUGCUUUGAUGGUGGUAAAGUCCUUGGUGUCAGCAGAGCAGCACGGAGCUGGCUGUGUGCCCAUCCUGCCCUGAUGCUCAGAGCAGCACUCUGGGAUGCAUGAGAUGUAAGUCAUUGGCCUGAACCAAAAUAGGCUUGUGCUGCUCCUGUGUUGUCCUUACUCAUGCUGGACUUUCUGUGGGCAAGAAUGAACCUCCCCUGUGACUAAUCUGUUUCUGACUCACCAGCUGCAUCAGAAUGCAGACUUUGAAGAGCUGUGGGAAAGAGCAGUGCUCUGAAGCUUAUGCUAAAUGAACACUGACCCUGGCGGAGGGAUCACAGCCACCUACCAUUGGAGAUGGGUUUAGUGGAGCUGGGGAGGCAGAAGCACAGCUUGCCACCAGCAUUUGACUGCUGCCUCUGCUGCCUCUCUGCUCACUGCUCCCAGUCAACCAUGGGGCUGCAACUACAAGGUGGGAACAGAGACUCUUUGUCCCAACUUGGAAGGGGUCGGUGGUAGUGAGCUGCCUGCAGAGUGGAAGGCAUCUGAGUAGGAAAGAGAGGCACUUGGAGUGCAGUGGGCUUACAGCGAGAGCAAGGAGAAGAAGGAUGGGUCUCCAGAUGGAAGCAAAGUAAUGCUAAGAAGACAUGGUACCUUUACAGGAACAGAUUAGUCUGAAAUUAGUCACUCAAGGCAACCUGAAUUCAGCUCUCCUUGCUCAGAUGCUGCUGUAAUCUCACAUGAGCCAGUGCACAGGUGCUGAGCAGAGCCGUGCAUCCUGACUGCUUACAGGCGCCUACAGAGCGGUGUGAAAAGCUCGCAAAGGACAGUGCCAGGCCAUGUGCUGCAGGGUACAGCACUGCACCUGGUCUGAGUGGAAGCAGUGAGCAGAGGUCACUCACUGCAGCCCAGUGCAGACACCCAUGUGGGAGCAGCAGAGGUGGCCUUUGGCUGGGGAGUAGGAGGGAAGAGCUCAAAGCUCACAGGAGACCCAUGGAUGGACACUGAGCAUCCUUUCCCCCCCUUUGGGGGAAGAUUCAACACAGGUUGUCCCCCUUGCCAAGUGUAGAACUCCUCCUGCAGCCCAUCUCACAUCUCUGGCGGUGUGCACACAGCCUUGUGGUAAAGGCUCCUUGAUCAGUCACAGCUAUCUUCCAGGACAUGAUGGAGAAAUUAUUGUCCAGGAGCUGGGAAGGGACAUACCCCUGAGAGAGACAUUCCUCUCUAGGAGCGUUUCUGACCUCUGCAGCCUGGCAUACCAUUCAGCACACAGAGCUCAGCUGUGGCCAAUUCCUAUGUGGGCCAAUAGCUUGCAUCUCCAGUCCCUGCUGCACCUGGGAGUCAGAACUGAAGCUAUACCUUUGGCUAGCAUGUAAUAUUGCAAAAAGGACUUUUCAAAAGUCUGUGCUGAGAUGUUCCUGCCCUCUGAGCCAGAUGCAGCUAGGAGUAUGGCAGAGGGAGAGGCUUAGCCCCGGUAUGAGCACAGUGCAAUUAAUUCCCAUAACUACUUUGAGGAGAGGCCCCAGGGAUUUUAUGUAAGUCUCUUACGACUUGGAAAGAUGGAUUCUGUCCAUCUUUGGUUUGGUUGAAAAUGAAAGAGCAGAAGCCAUGUUCAAGUGGUGAGUUUUGCUGGUUUAGCAAUAAAAUGCUGAAAUCACUUUCAGUACAGCCUUGCCAUGCUCUUCCGCACUUGCCCUGAUGAAAUAAAGAAGCCAACGUAUGAAUGUAUAUAAUUUUGAUUGUACUGUGGGCCACAGCAGUGGGCACAGACCCAUGGUACUGUGAGUGCAUGGGGCUCCAAAAGCAGAAGGGGAUGCAUAAGGCAUGAGGUCAGCCAGAAGGGCUCUGCAGCUGUAGCCCUGCCCUGUGGCACACAGUGAGCCCAGCCUGACCCUGUACAGGAAGGACAUCACAUGGAAAAAAGUGCAUGUUCCCACUUCCCAUAGCAUCCAUUUGUGUCCCAAGUAGCUGCUUGUUCAGUUGGCCUCAUUUUUUUUAUUUGUUUGCUGUUUCUGCCUUUUAUGAAUCUGGUGGUGUCAUUUUCACACUGAAGCCUGUUUCACUGCGUUUCUGGCCAACCUCGUUGGUUAAACCUGUUCUACCACAUCAGGAUCUUUUUUUUAUAGCUCAUGUCUGCCAGGAAAAGCUUGCCAUUCAUCAUCUUCCUUUCUGCUGUGUUCAUUUUCUGAUGCUCAUGAAAUAUGCUGGUAUUUCCAAAGUAAUACAAAGCUCAGGAGGCAGGGUAGGAGGACCAGGCCAGGACAGUCCCAGCCCUGAAGAGUGUGUCAUGCUCAGAAGUGGGGAGAAGGAGAAAAAAUUGACCCUGAGAUAAAGGAGAUGGGUGGUGGGACUUGUAGCCCCUUCCCAGGGGAACCCCCCCCAGAGUGUAAAGCUGGCUCCUGGCUCAGGCAGAGCAGCCUUUCCCACAGCAGUUCCAUGCUGUCUGUUCUGCAGUUCAGGUCUGUGUUAUUCCUCCUUUUUUGUAUUACUCAUCCUAUUAUAGACGAGAACCAUGAACUGGCUGCCAUGCUGUGGAAGUACUGCUGUGUUUGGGUCACCGCGUUUCUAUACCUCACAGAAUCACAGAAUCACAGAAUGGCCAGGGUUGAAAGGGACCUCAAGGAUCAUGAAUCUCCAGCCCCCCUGCCACAUGCAGGGCCACCAACCUCCCCAUUUAAUACUAGACCAGGCUGCCCAGGGCCCCAUCCAAUCUGGCCUUGAAAACCUCCAGGGACGAAGCAUCUACAAUCUCUCUGGGCAGCCCGUUCUAGAAAUGUAUCAUCAUAUGUGCAAAGUGGUUCAGUUGCUGCUUUGUUAACCAGGUAACAUUAUCAGUGGCAGAAUUCAUGGGGGUGUUGAGAACUGGGACCAAGUCUGGUAUGGCCAGCAGUUUGGGGAGAAAAUUAGGGUUUCUCAUAGUAUCUGCUCACGGUCAAACAGUUCAGAGCACUGAUAUUUGCAGCUACUUCUUGCUCAGAGAACCAAAGCCAUGUCCUCAGUGCACAGUGCUGGGACCAUCUCUGCUUUCCAGCAACUUGGGCAUAAGUGGCCUGAGGUCAGAAUGUAAUAUAGGAGCAACUGCUAACAAUUUAUUUGUCUGCCGGAAGUGGGUUUGGAUUCCUGAUUAUAAAUGCUCACUUUUGAAGUCUUUGCAGCUGUGUGAAUGCCUUGAAAGCAAUGGUCAGGUUCCUCUGGUUCAUGGGCUGCAGAGGAGGAACCCAGCGGAGGAACCCUGCUCUGCCACCGGCGUCGGUCUCCUGCUCGGUAUCUCACCCAGACACAGAUAAGCGAAAAAGCAGAGGUUUGUGUCACGCUUCUUUCAUAGUUCUUGUGUACAAAUGUUCGCAUGCUGCAGCGGUUCAAAGAGCCUAAAGAUAUGAUCUUAACUGUGGUGCUUUCCCAGCCUAUGGCCACGCUUUGCCUCUGUGAAUAAAGGCGGCAGUGUCUGCAGCCAGGAGAUCUCUCCUACAGAUCUCAUCGGGCUGUUUGCCUCCCUGGGGAGCAGAGUUGGGGACAGCAGAGUUCAGGGUAGCACGUGUUCGAGAAUUGAUGGGGAAAUUUGAAGCCUAAAUGGCACAUGCUGGCCUUCUCGCAGAGAUGAGGAGUCAAGAGGAAGCGGCUGGGAUGUGGAACACGUGCCAAUUCUGAACUACACACAUAGGCAUUUAGGGAGCAUGCUAAGAAAGCCACAUGUGUGUGCACACACUUGUAAGUGCGCAUGCCUAUGUUUGUAAACAGCUCCUCAUAUCCCUCUGAUUAGGGAUUCUAUCGAUGAUUGCCUGAUUUGUCCUGUGGCAGACAAAUUCAAAUGAAAAUGUGUUCCCCAUCUCCCUGCUACUAUAAAUUCUGUGCUAUGGGGAAGUAGUGAAGUGCACUAGCUGUACACCCAUGGAGAAAUGCCCUGUUGAGAAGUAUUACACAGGGAACAACUGACAGCCCUUCACUUCAGUGGGUACAUUUCUCUGUACAGCUGCAUCACCACUAAUGAUAAAUGAGCAACGUUUGAUAGCCGACUCCGUUGCCUGACAGCUACAGUUUUGGCCAGAGGGCCACGACAGGCUUUAGACUUCUGUUCAAAAUGAGUUAAACAUAUUAGGUAUUGCGAAGCCACAGAAGCCUCGAGAAUGAGUGCUGAAAUGAGUUAUCAAGGUAUGCUCCUGGGUACACAACUUGCAAAGCAGAUGUCAUUCUAAUAAUGUGUGAUAUAGAACAUGUCUGGCCUAAACCCUGCUGGAUGAAAUAUGAAGCCCCGUUGGUGAUAUUUAAUAUCAUUUUAUGAGGUGCCAUCUUAUAAAGACAAUGCCCGCCUUAUGUGGAAUGCUUAAGGUAUUUUGCCAAAGGCACAGGGAGGUAUCUGAACUAAGUAGAAUUUUUAUUAUUUUAUAAGCCUUUACUUUGUAAUAUUUCUGUUUCUACAUUAUUGUGGUACUAGCUGCACUAACCCUUUGUCUGGUGAACCUCACAAGCAGUUAUUGAGUGACUGAUGGCCACAGCUCUCUGCAGGGUAACGGCCAGGGCCUGCCUAAAUAUAUUCUUAACAACAAAAACAAAAAAGCCCCCAAAAAACACAACAACCCAAACAACAGAAACUGGUCUUCAAAGGGAAAUAAAGCUUCACAGGAGGCACACAUGGAAAGGAGGUCCUCGGAGCUACAGGACCCAGAGCUUUAGGUGUUCUAUAAAGGAGCGAGGCCCAGGAAGAUGGUGAGCUGUGCAUUACAGCUGUGUAUUAGCUGUAAAGCUGUAGCAUGCUUCUCCUCCUGAAUUCCUCUUGUCAACGGUGCCUUUCUGCUGAGAUUGCCGGAUCCCUUUGCUGACAUCCCAAGGACAUGUGCAGAGUUACUUAAUUUAAGGAAGGUAACAGGUGUUUUAAUUCUCCAAUUCUCUCUCAGUUUGUUCAAAAUGUUUUCUUUAAUGCUGCUUUUGUGGAACUUCCUAGCAUGGACCUGCUGACAGGUAGAGGCUGAGUGCAGUGGUUACUGUCAGCAGAUCAGACACCUCCUCCUGGCACCAGUGCUGUGUCGAGCACCCUGAUCCAUGCUUAUGUGACAGUGGUGCUGAGCUGGGGCAGGGAGACUCAGCACCAAACACCAUCUGGCCCCAUGCUGCCAGGGAAGUUUCCUUGUGUCAGCUCCUGCCCAUCUGCCUGUUUAAAGCAGCAUCCACACUGCUGGCGUUACUUGCCUAGCCAUGCCAGGGGCCGCUGCAUGCAGCUUCCAGUUUGGAAGACAUCCCUGCACCGAAAUAGGUGGUGCUUCCUGCUUGUAAUCCCAGCAUUCUCCUUCUGUCUUCCUACCUAAGUGAUCUCUCAAUGUGCAGUAGUGCAGCCUGGUAUCAUUCCCUUUGACAAAACUCUACUAACUUUAUUUUUCUUUGCCCUUGAACAACUUGCUUUCCUCCCAAACUCAUCAUCCUCUGAGCCCAAGGUCUGUGAUAUUCAGAUUCAUCUUUCUUUAUACCAUAAACAUGCCAUAUAUAUAUAAUGCAUUGGGACACUGGCAAGCAAUGACUAUUGGAGGCAGAAUGGGUGCUGAGGGGCCCAUCGCUGCGCAGUUGCAGAGCUCAGCAGCAGCUCAUCCAUCGCACUGCACUACAUGACCUGCCUGUCUCCAUGCCUGUGGCGUGCAGCACAUAACACUGACAUGGAGUCAGAACUGUGCACUGCAGCCAGCCCUUCUGGCCUUGGUGCUACUGCACUCAGCGCUACCUGCUAGCGGCCCCAUGGCGGGUCAGGAUGCUGCUGUCUGAAAGAAGCCCAUCUCAGACAUUCCUGAAAGCCACUGCUCAGUGUACGACAUGUCGAGUGACAUCUGCUGUGCCACAAAGCAUCAGUGUGUUGCAAAAUACCAUAAUGAAAGGUGACAAGAUAUACUGCAAGCUGUUUGGCCAAUAUUUUUGUUUAUCCUGGGGGCAAAUUCCAUGCAGACCCACAGCACGGUACCUUUGCCUGGGGCGGCCAGCCAAACCCCUCAACAUUUGGGCAUCUUCAAGCGCUCAGAGCUACCCCUGGCCCAACACAGGUGAUGGUGGGCAGAGCUCGGUGCAGAAGCACCCCCAGCCCACCCGCAUCCCCCACCCACAGAUUUUCCUCAUGAUGUGGUGCAGCUGUGGUGGGCGCUGAGGGCUUUUCUUGCCUCUCAGAGCUCAUGAACUUGUGAGCAAAUCCCCCAUCCCCAUCGUACGGGAGGCUCUUGUUUAUAUAGGUUUUCCACUUGGAGCUCAUUUCCUUCAAGUCUGUCCUCAUACUCAGUGAAAUCCCUGCUCUGAGCUGCAGGAGGCUUUUAGCUCCUCUUUCUGCUUACAUUGUUGCAAGAGUUGAGUGGGAAAAUGCACAGAGCUGGGAGAUUAAAGAUGUAAAUUUUAUAAACAGAAAUCAAAGGUCCUAAAUCCUUAGCAAAGAAAAGCCGACGUAAGUAUGAACAUUAAAAAACAUACAUAAAUAGUACUUCAAGGCUGAAUGUGUUAAAUUAUUCAACGGUUAAGUCAUAAGUGUUCUUAAACUUAAGUAUAAAAAUGCCCUUGACAAUAUUUCAUAGCUGUGCAUUUCUUUAAAAUAUUUAGCAUUCUCAUUAAAGAGAAUGACUUUAUUUUAUAUAUUAGUUACACUCCCGCUUGUUAAUAUGAGGAAUUUAGUAGCGAAGAGCUUUCUUAUGCACAUAAGACAAAGACAAUUUACAUAUAAAGUUGGACAACUAUUCACUUUUUAUUUAUUCCUGGAUCAUCUGCAUCCACGCAGAGCCACAGAAUAUUUAAACAAAUUUGUUCCUUAAUGCAGAGUAUUAAUAUUUCCUUGCCCAAAAUAUCAUUUGCUAAUGCCACCAUGAAGACAGGUUCAUUCAGAGCUACACGGAGGUUCUCGCCUCAGAAAGGCUUAAUGAACCUUACAUUUUUGGUAUACUGCACCGUGUAAUGCCUAUUACAUAUUCAUUGCCAGGAUGGAAGAUUUCCUUUAACUCUGAGGCUCCUGGCCUAGUUCACUGUAAAACAUUGUCAAAAAUCACCAGAGACUUUCACUGAGAAUUGUGACUCUUGAUAGCAAGAUGUAAUGGGAAGCUUUAGAAUAGAAGAGCCGCUGCUAUAUGGGCCCAGGGGGAAUAGUUCUGACAGACAAAUGGAUGGGUAAUACAGUUUUUGACAUAAUGGGAUGAAAAAGUUUAUGCCAGAAAGAACUGAAUUAAAGUUCAUACUUUGAGGAAAUUCUGAAGUUCUCCCAACCAGCAGCAUUACAUUUGUGUGCUUCAUGCUAAGGCAUGCAUGCCAAUGGACUUUUUCCUGGUUUUGAAUUGGUUUGCAAGCUUACCAAGAAGCCACAGUAACAGUGUUAGUUACUGUCCUGGUGCCGCUGCUGCACAGGACACUCUCAGGGAGCUGGAGCUGGAGCUGUCUGUUCGAAGGCCGUGCAUCAUCGGUUUGUUUCUCAACCCCCUUUCGUAGGAAGAGCAGAACCAAAAAGACCAUAAUUUGGAGUGUUGCUCUGGAAUUCCAGAUUGCUGACAGCUUUGUUAUUUCAAUUCUUUUUCCUUCUUGUUCUGUGAACUGUAGGUAUUGGUAGCUCCAGGAUCGCUGCACCCUAGUGAGAAAAGGAGUUCGGCUGAUGUAGAAAUCACUGCAAGCUGAAGGCCUUCAUUAACAUCUGAGAAGUGUUGCUUGCUGCUCUGUGCAUUAUUUUUGGUGAUGGCAGCCUGCGCUGUGACCAGAUGUGUUUUUAGGCGGUGUGCAUGCGUGCACGCAGCAAGGGUCUGACCGCAGGUCUCUGGGGAGGCGAUGGUGCAGUAACAGCCUCUCCUCUGGAGCUGCCAUCCAAGCUGCGUCUCCUGUGAGCCAGCUGUGACAGAGGCAGUGGCUGAACUGCAGAAAUGAGUGCAAUGGGGAAAGGCCUCAUAAUGGCCAAGAUGAAAAAUGUGUUAGUGCAGAACAAUGAAGUGAUGGUAAAUCUGAGAUGUAGGCACCAGUCACCACUUGUGCCACACCGUUGUCAGAAGGGUGCUGAGGUAUCUGAGAGAGCAGGCUGAGAAAGCGAGCUAAUUAUACCACAUUAUUCACUUCUGCUCAUUAGCUAUAGUACAAAGGCUCUGCUUUUUAUGUAUAUAUUAAAGUGCCAAGGAGUACAGGAAUAGAUAACUUAAUGUUCCUUUUGUCUCACUAUUUGGUUUGGCUUAGACAGAAAAAAAAACGCACUUUCAUGGUCCUGCAGUUUCCCAUCCUACAGAAUUAGGGAUGUCAUCAUAUGUCACCCCAAGCGAACUGCAAAAGGCCGCUCUCUCCCUGAUGCCUUGCCAAGCCGAGCUCAAGCAAAGCUUCUGUGCUGUUUAACAGGUUCUGACCCGUGUCUGCACAAGGGGUGUGUAGGCAGCCUGCCUUCCCCUGUGCUCAGCACAGGCACUGCUUCAUGGGAUAGGCUUCCUCUGCCUCUAAGUCCCUUUCAGCACACACCUCAAAUAGCUCCAGAGUCAUUUGGCAGCCUCAAGGCAACACCCCGCUGCCAUCUCCCUGGGUGCACUGUGCCCUCUCACUGCCCCUUUCUGCUCCACCAUUUUGGGAGUGCAGAUCCCACCUGCUCCCUGCUGAGCUUCACUGCCACAGAUUCUGCUGUUUGAUAAACUCGGGGUGCUGUUACAACACGUCUGCUCUUACAGUCCUGCUAUUGCAUUUGGAUCUGAGAAUGAGCCAUUAGGACAAGAUGAGUGGGAAAGCAGAAAAUUUGUUUAUUGAAAUUAUUUAUAUGCGAGAAAUUCCUGACUUUCAAAGUUCGUGGAUCUCCAGUGCACAAGUUGCAGAGCAUGCACUAAUCCAAGAGAAGAGGAACAGGUAAUGCACUUCUGUGCUUGGAUGAUGGAAAUCGAAUUUGUGCAUUGAAAUCUUCCCUUUCCCAUGAUGACAAUUGCCUUGCCAUUCUAAUUAUGUGCAUCACAAAAGCCACUGCUUCAGUAAAACACCCUGCAGCUACAAAAAGGGAUAGGCUGGAGAAGCACACAUCACCAAUAAGUGGCACUGAGCAUCUACUCCAUUUCUCACACAGGUUGGCAUAUUUCUCAGUGGUCCAUCUGGUAGAAUUGGAUGGCAUUUAUCAGGAAAUAAUCCAAUUGUGGCAUGCCAAAACCUGAACAUGAAAAGUACUUGUGCCUCGUGUCAAUCAUUCACCCUCUGACAGUUCAAUAAACAUCCUUUCUGUGAUAGUUUUCAGGAACACUGACACCCAAAAUGCUGGAAACAAUGCCAGAGCUGGAAACGACAAUGCUUCUGUGAAACAUCACGAGAGACCCACACAACCUGGCAUGCAUUUUGCCAAGUGUUGCUUAGCAAUACAGCGUCUGUGGGCCUCUGGUGGGCAGGAUUAUCUGCAGAGGGAGAGGCAUUCACACCUCUGAUGAAAAUACAUCGUUCCCAAAUAAAGGAGUGCAAAGAAGAGAAGUGCAGCGUGGAGCACAGGAUGCUGCAGCCACAAUACGCAACUGGAGGCUUGCAAGAAAACAUCUCACCACUCACACUUCUUCCACAGGUGCCAAGCUGUGUGCAGCACGUGCCUCGUCCCAUGUGGCAGGGCUCUCCCAGGCAGCAGUCGUGUUGCUGCAUUGUGAGCAGCUCCCACAGAAAGCACGUGCAGGCAGAACCUUGUGUGGGCUGGGUUGGGGGCACCACGACUGAGGACGAUGGCAUGCGGAGAGAGCCCAGACCUGGAGCUGGGGUGUAAAUAACCAGCAUCACUUGUAAGGAAGUGUGAAACAGGAACAGGCCUUUGACAGCCUAGGUGUUGGUAAUAAUAGGAUCACAGAAGGAGCUCGUGGUAAGAUAAAAGAAAACUUGCUCGCUGCCAAAAUUCUCAGGCAAGUCCCUCUCCCCAAAUGACUCUGUUUACUGUUUACUUCUCCAGCUCCCCUGUCCCACCCCUGAAAAGUAAAGGCAGCAUUUCCAGAACAGCAAACAAAGCUCCAUGGCUGGAGGGAGAGAGCACUACUUUAUAUUGCAAGCACCACUUUGCCACCAACAAGGAAAUGGAAUUGAGGAAAGUGAAAUAACUUGCCCGAAGACACUGACAGACCUGGGAACUAAAUUCAGGACUCCUUAAUGUGCCAAAUCCUGAAGCAGACGCUCCUGAGGUCUCACCAAAUCACCUUUUAUGUGUGUGCCCAGUAAACAGGAAUGAGAGUAACUCAUGCAUAUCAGAUAAGGGGUUUUUGUCUGUCUCAUGUUCAGGGUUUUUAGAUCCAGGAAUCAGCUGAUACAUGGAGUAUGCAAUCUUCCCUUCCAGCAUUGUGAAGGUAGCCCCAAUGCAGACACGCCUGCCUAGCCCACCCAGACAGAGGUGUGGGAGGCUGCUGGGGAUGGAGCUUUUGGGGCAUUUCCCCAAAACUGCCUUUUCCCCUCUGGCUCAGGGCUGCACUGACAGGGCUCUUUCCAACAGACAGAGCUCCGCACCAAAACCCAGAGGUGUGCAGAUUCCUGUAUAUACUUAUGACAGUUUUCCAGGGAGAAGUGCAAGCUAACUCCAUCAGUGCCUUUGAGCCUUGACUUGUUAAUUGGCAUUACUUCUAAUUCCCAGCUAUAUUUUAAGGUAUGAACCUAAGGAAUUUUAAAGUCAUUAUGUGGGUGAGGGACUGAUAAAAAUAAAUCCUUCAGGUUUACAAGUGGCAGUGAGGGAAUAAAAGGUGUUAAGAAAUCCACAAGUUUUCAGCCAAUUGGUUCAAAAAAGUAUCCGGGUGGACUGCAGCUUCUGGAGAAAGGUCAUUGAUACUACUCUGAGUACCUCGUUUUAUGAACUUUAUGCAUCACAUAAAAUAAAUUUAAAGCAGUUUAAUUUAACAGUCUAAUUAGUCAUGGCUUUUUCAUCUUGUCUAUUUAACUAUACACAGAACAAAGAGAAAGGCUCAAUGCCAAAUUUGGAGCUGGCACAAAUCAUCUCUAUGAGUCAAAAAAAGCCGUUCCUGCUCAUCCAGGCUGGAUGUAGAUGCAGUUGGCCAAAUUUAUCCCCAGGGAUAACACCGUUAAUGUCUGGAGAGUUGUACCAUGUAUAGACCAGAGUGCCAGGAAUUAACUCCCCGUGGAGCAGAUCUCUUGGUCUCCACGUUCAGAGCUAGAGCCAGGCUAGUGAAAAUGUGAGUUAAAUACUCUGGAGGAAUGACUUAAAAACUCCAGAUAGUUUGGAACACAACUCCUCUGUGUGUUGGCUUCACAAGCACGCACGCAAGCAUUCCCCAUCACUUCAGUGUUUAAUUUCCAUCCCCUUUCACUAAAUUUUACUGUUCAUACAAUCUCAGGCAAAUGGCAAUCACACGAAUGCAUCCUCCACUGUGCCUUGUGCUUCUGCUCCUCUGUGUAAACCACAGCAGUAUGUAGAUCUUGG
Lagopus muta (rock ptarmigan) is the source of this 11977-nucleotide long non-coding RNA. RefSeq lists it as uncharacterized. Lineage: Eukaryota; Metazoa; Chordata; Aves; Galliformes; Phasianidae. The record is from RefSeq and is a predicted model, not a curated record. The transcript has 3 exons.